This 429-nucleotide ribosomal RNA is filed under the name Gemmatimonadota bacterium. RNAcentral describes it as "Gemmatimonadetes bacterium partial 16S ribosomal RNA". It matches the Rfam family "Bacterial small subunit ribosomal RNA", at positions 355 to 776 of the family's 1533-position model. The record is from RNAcentral. Lineage: Bacteria; Pseudomonadati; Gemmatimonadota.
UAGGGAAUCUUCGGCAAUGGACGAAAGUCUGACCGAGCAACGCCGCGUGAGCGAAGAAGGUUUUCGGAUCGUAAAACUCUGUUGUUAGAGAAGAACAAGGACGUUAGUAACUGAACGUCCCCUGACGGUAUCUAACCAGAAAGCCACGGCUAACUACGUGCCAGCAGCCGCGGUAAUACGUAGGUGGCAAGCGUUGUCCGGAUUUAUUGGGCGUAAAGCGAGCGCAGGCGGUUUCUUAAGUCUGAUGUGAAAGCCCCCGGCUCAACCGGGGAGGGUCAUUGGAAACUGGGAGACUUGAGUGCAGAAGAGGAGAGUGGAAUUCCAUGUGUAGCGGUGAAAUGCGUAGAUAUAUGGAGGAACACCAGUGGCGAAGGCGGCUCUCUGGUCUGUAACUGACGCUGAGGCUCGAAAGCGUGGGGAGCAAACAGG